GGUGACAGGAACACAACAUGGCGCGCUGAGGGCUGGGCCGGGAGGGGCCCGGAGGGGGCCCGGCCGCUCUCUCGCUCACCCCGAGACCUGCAGGCGAGCGCAGGAUGAACAAAUGCAAAUCAGUUGGUGAUAUAGGAGAGGGAACAUUUUCUGAUGUUCUGAAGACACUGAGUCAUAGGGAUGGAAAGUACUAUCCAUGUAAACACAUGAAGCAACAUUUUGAAAGAUAA
This 230-nucleotide long non-coding RNA is filed under the name Athene cunicularia (burrowing owl). RNAcentral's name for it is "lncRNA (ENSACUG00000003891.1)". Lineage: Eukaryota; Metazoa; Chordata; Aves; Strigiformes; Strigidae. The record is from RNAcentral.